UUUCACGCUGAUGGACAAGGAUAAGGAGGAUUGGCUACAUUCAGUUAACCGAACUGAGCAAUCGGAACGUCAAGAUGAUAGCAAUACCAUUGAUAAUUGUGAACGACUCUUUAAAUGCUCCGUCUGUCCAAAAUCCUUUCCAAGAAAAUCCCACCUCAGUGAACACAGCCAUAGCCACACUGGGGAGCGACCGUACACGUGUCCACACUGCUCGAAGUCUUUCUCUCAAUCUGGAACUCUCCGGAAUCACAUCCGUACUCACACAGAUGAACGACCAUUCCAAUGCGCCCACUGUUCCAAGUCAUUUAAACUGAAAUCCCAUCUCGUCGGACACAGCCGUACUCACACAGGGGAGCGACCUUAUAAGUGUUCUUACUGCGCUUUGUCGUUUAAACAACUCGCCCAUCUUACCUCACACAUACGCUCCCACACAGGAGAAAGACCCUACAAAUGCUCUCACUGCCCAAAAACCUUUACCCAAGUACCCAAUCUUAAUAUGCACAUUCGUACGCACACGGGUGAAAGACCCUACAAAUGCACCGAAUGCCCAAAAUCGUUUGUACAAAUCUACCAUCUCAAGGAACACAUCCGCACGCACACUGGGGAGCGACCAUUCAAGUGUAGGCAGUGCCCUAAGUCUUUUCAAAAAAAUGCAAAUCUUCGAGAACAUACCCGUACCCACACGGGGGAGCAGCCUUAUCAAUGUCCACAAUGUCUAAAAACCUUUCUUGCUCGAGCGUAUCUCAAAAUUCACAUACGAACUCACACUCGCAAUGCAGAGCUACCGUAUAAGUGUUCUCACUGCUCUGAGACCUUUGCCCAAGUAGGGAUUCUCCAGGCUCAUAUGCGUUCGCAUACGGAUGAACACGAACGACCUUACCCAUGUCCCCACUGCACCGAAUGGUUCAGCUUGGAAGAUAACCUGAGGACCCACCUCCGUACGCACAUGGGUGAAGGACCCUACCAAUGCAGCGAAUGCUCAAAGUCUUUUAUACAAAAAUAUCUCUUUGAAAGACACAUCCGUACGCACUCAGAUGAUCGACCCUACCAGUGCUCUCAAUGCUCCAAGUCCUACAAACAAAAGGCCCAUCUCAGCAGUCACAUACGGGUUCACACUGGGGAGAAAAACGACAUAUCUAGUGUUUCCACUGGAGAAGAGACCCAAUCGAAGCCACUUGAAGUGGAGGGACCCCACAAAUGCUCUCACUGCUCGAAGUCAUUUAAGAUACAAUCCCAUCUCCAAAUACACAUCCGUGUUCACACGGGAGAUCGACCGUAUAAGUGCUCUGACUGCUGGAUGUCGUUUAAACAACACUCCCAUCUUCGAAUGCACAUACGCUCCCACACAGGUGAAAGACCCCACCAAUGCGCCCAAUGCUCAAAAGCCUUCUCAGAAGAAUCCAAUCUUAGAAGACACAUGCAUACGCACACAGAUAAACGACCGUACCAAUGCACCGAAUGCCCAAAGUCUUUUAUAAGAAAAGCCCGUCUUGAAAGACACAAAGAAAAAGACCAUCUCAACGAACACAUAACUGCUCAUACUGGAGAGAUAUUCGACCCAUCUGGUGUACCCACUGCGAUUCCAGACAUCAACAGCAUUUAAAGCACCCAAACGGUAUGCAACUGAUAUUACUUGAUACGAAGUAUCUCCAUAGAAACACACCUCCAGUACCGUCGAUUGCACGAUCAGUUCGGAGAGCAAGGGCCAGGAGUGCUUGGACAAUGUCUGCCAGCGUCUGCUCAUCCAGCAGCCAGAGUUCUUUGGACUGCGUUACCUCGUCCGUGGAAAGGAGGAUGAGUAUAAAUGGAUCGAUCUGGAGCGAUCGCUGAGCCGCCAGCUGGAGAAGUAUGCGGCGGGGCCAAAGAUCUACCUGCGAGUGCGUCACUAUGUGACGACGGGUGUGCGGCAUCUGAGCGACGAGGCCAACAGACUGCACAUCUGUGCAGUGCGUUAGUAUAUUAACUAUAUAGUCGACGGAAUCUGGCUAAUCACAGUCGCAGCGCCUGCGACUUUGUCAAUAGCCUGUUGAUUAUAGAGCUGGACAAAAUAUCGAUAGAACGGUCUGUUGGUUACAUCGAUGUUUUGUGAUUUUUCGCACCAGAACCACCGAUGUUUUCCAGUUAAAUUGGCAAAAAAGUCUGCUAAAAUAGUUAAUAUAUAACAGAAAAUUUUUCCAUGGAAGGCUUUACAUUAAAUUGAUUAAAAUUGAUAUGCAAAUCA
This is an RNA transcript of Drosophila miranda, 2221 nucleotides long. It is a transcript of the gene named gastrula zinc finger protein XlCGF57.1-like, with no coding region annotated. The record is from RefSeq and is a predicted model, not a curated record. The transcript is spliced from 2 exons. NCBI's taxonomy places the organism in Eukaryota, Metazoa, Arthropoda, Insecta, Diptera, Drosophilidae.